RNAcentral lists this long non-coding RNA (36246 nucleotides) under Citrus maxima (pomelo). RNAcentral describes it as "long non-coding RNA (CMAX_LNC002831)". The record is from RNAcentral. Lineage: Eukaryota; Viridiplantae; Streptophyta; Magnoliopsida; Sapindales; Rutaceae.
CUUUAGCUAAUUUCUUGAUUCUCCUCUUGAACUUGGGUACGUUGCUAUCUUCUUUAGCAUGUCCAUAUUGCCCUUAUCCUACUCCUCCCCCUCCGUGUCCCCCAACAUUUCCACCAAAACACCCUCCACAUGUAAAGCCACCUUUCCACCCCAAACCACCGCAUCACAAGCCACCCCAUGUCAAACCACCGCACAAGCCCCCGUAUGUUCCUAAACCACCUUAUUCCCCAAGCCCUAAACCGCCUUACGUGCCAAAACCACCUCAUACUCCAGUCCCUAGGCCACCAUAUUUCCCCAAACCACCUUACACACCAAGGCCUAAGCCACCAUAUGCGCCAAAACCACCUUAUACGCCAACCCCUAAGCCACCAUAUUUCCCCAAACCACCUUACACACCAAGGCCGAAGCCACCAUAUGUGCCAAAACCACCUUAUACGCCAGCCCCUAAGCCACCAUAUUUUCCCAAACCACCUUACACACCAAGGCCUAAGCCACCAUAUGCACCAAAACCACCUUAUACGCCAACACCUAAGCCACCAUAUUUCCCCAAACCACCUUACACACCAAGGCCUAAGCCACCGUACGUGCCAAAACCACCGUACACACCAAGGCCUAAGCCACCGUACGUGCCAAAACCACCAUACACACCAACCCCUAAGCCACCGUACGUGCCAAAACCACCUUACACCCCAACCCCUAAGCCACCGUACGUGCCAAAACCACCGUAUACCCCAACUCCUAAGCCACCGUACGUCCCAUCGCCACCUUAUACCCCUCGCCCUAAACCACCGUAUGUACCAUCACCACCUUAUACCCCUAGCCCUAAACCACCGUAUGUGCCAUCACCACCAUAUACCCCAAGCCCUACCCCACCAUAUGUACCAUCACCACCGUAUACCCCAAGCCCACCAUAUGUACCAUCACCACCGUAUACCCCAAGCCCUAGCCCACCACCACCACCAAGUGGAACACCGUGUCCUCCGCCGCCGCCACCAAAGGUGAGACCGUACCCUCCACCACCAUCACAAACUUGUCCCAUUGAUACUCUCAAGCUUGGUGCAUGCGUCGACGUGUUGGGCGGUCUAAUACACAUCGGUAUAGGCAGCAGUGCAAAGGACGCUUGCUGCCCCGUGCUGCAGGGGCUACUGGACUUGGAUGCUGCAUUAUGUCUUUGCACCACCAUUAAACUUAAGCUUUUGAAUAUCAAUCUUAUUAUACCGAUCGCCCUUGAAGUGCUUAUUGACUGCGGCAAGCAUCCGCCGCCCGGAUUCCAGUGUCCUGCCUAAUUGGUGACGCUUUCCAGCCAUGCAAUUGAUGAAUGCGACUUGUUUGUUUUGGAGAUUUUGUCAAAGAUAAUGACAUGUAAGUGCAUAAAGUGGAAGUACUUCAUGAUAUCGAAGUUUGUCUUAAUAUAUGUUUUGUUCCUCUUGUGCAUAUCAAACCAAUUAUCUUUGGAGCAAAAUCUAUGUUUUGAUGGAUCCAUACUAUCUGCAAGUUUGGGAUCAUGGGGUGUCAAAUAAUCGCUUAUUUGACCCAAAUUUUAUUUGAGUUGUCCAAUUAGUUGUAACCAUCAAAUAAUUUAUUAUCACACAUAAUUUUGAGAGUAAAUUCUCAAUUGACCAUUAAAAAAAAUAAUCACAACCGACAAAUUCAAAACAGAUACUAUCAUCGUGGAAAGAAAUAUUAAUUAUGCAUUUGGAUUCUGAUAUAAGAUACGCUGAUCUUUUGAUGAUAUCCAUUUUCGCGCCUACAUAAUUCAGAUUCAACCACAAUUUUAUUGUUAUCCAAUAGCUAUUAAUAAAAUAUUAUAUUAAAAAAAAGCACAAAACUUGACCGGCACUGAAUUUAUAUUCAUUGAUUAUACUAAUGGAACCUUUCAUUUGAUGAAUUUAAUUGUUCAAUGAAAAAUAACUAGCUGAAACAGUUGAAGACGGGGUGAUUUCUCACCUCGAAAAGAGAGAGAAUUCCCCCAAAGUGCCGCUUGAUAGGAUUUGAUUUAAUUUAAUUUAAUUUAAUUUUAUGCCUUGCCCUUAAAUAAUGUGGAGUAGAGAUUGCUCUUAUUAUUGAUUCAAAAUCAUUAGAUAUGCAUUAUUAUAAAAACUUUAUAGUAAUUAUUCAAUGAAAGAGAAUUAUUAUUAAUAUCAUUUUCUUUCCAGACUGAUUAAUCAAUGAUUGUUUUGCAGGAAUGGAGCAUUAUAUGAAUUUCAGUCCAAUAACAUUUAAACAGCUCUCUUUAAGAAUGAAUUUGAGUUUUAGGCUACACAAGAUAAUCUGCCGUAUCCCUUGAUUUAACAUUCUAGUUAUUAAUUGUACGUACACAAAAAAAAAAAAAAAUCAUGGAGUGAUUGAUUUUUCCCAAACAGUUAUACUGUAGAUCAUUAAAGAAAAUAUAAAAAAAUAAAAGUUGAAACGAGUGGCCUAAACAGUAAACUUUGGGUGAAAGUUACAGAUAAUAUUUAAUUACGAUGGAGUUUUUUUUCCCCCCUUUUUUGCAUUUCUGAAACGUGUUGCCUGAUUUAACAGAGAAAAGGGAAAAUUUGAUGGUUGACACUUGGUAAUGAUUUAUAAGUAAUUUAAGGAUUUUUCUAUAAUGCUGUAUGUACUUUUACAGCAUUAAUAGUGCAGUUAUUAUAAACCCUUUGAUUUGAGUGAUUUAAUCUUAGUCAUUUAUUUAAUAUAAUAAAUAAAUAAGUAAUUAAUUAAAAGCUAGCAAGUAACUUGUAAGUUGUAGGUAAAUAUUAGUUUUUUAAUUUUAAAUUAAUAUUAACUUUAUAGCAUUUAAUAUAAGUUAUCAGAACGAGAUGCAUGUAAUCCAAGUUGAUCAUCGAGUUCAUGAUCAUGACCCUGCUGCUUGGUCAAUUGAGAUCUUUCCGACAGUACCACAUGAAAAUUCAUUUUGUCGAGGAGCUGCUGAAGUUGUACAGGAAGAAACAGAAUCCAAUCUCUCUAGUCCGACCGGUACAUUUCUCCAGGUCGCCGCCCACCAGGGUCUGGCCGCGUUGGCAGUCGAAUUUGGCGGUGGCAUUCUCUGCUGGAGAACGGGAAAAUUCUCUUGUGCUCCGUGGAACUCUGUAGUGCAGCUGGAUUCAUUGCUUGCUGUGGUGGUUAUAUCUUAGAACGUAGAGGCAAAGCUAAAUUGGCUUGCUCAGAUUAUGACAGGAGUGGGAGGUGUUGCCACUGCCAGUAGAUUUAUAAAUGGUAUGAAAAAACUACAUUAAUAACUGUGCAAGAUCAUGUGAGAAGGAACCCGUCGAGCUGGAGAUGAUCAAAUCAAGGAAGGCAUUGAAGGGCGAGGCGGAGAGAAGGAGAACAGAAUCAGAGGCUGAGAUGACUCAGAUGACGAUGCAAACUCAAUUGCAGAUCGUCCUUUGUUGAGGGGAUGAAUUCGAGUCGAAAGAGGAAGCGCGAUGAAGAAGACGAAUCACGAGUUUCUCAGAGGUAAAAUUCUUGAACAUGUCAAUGGUUAAUCAUUCAGGAACUUGAGACACUCUUUAAGAAUCCAAUUUCCUUCAAGAACAUGAGAGAAAAAACCGAUGGUUAAAUUUAUGAGAUAAAUAAAGAGAUUUUAUUUUAUCAAAUUUUUUAUCUCUUUUUUAAUCUAAAACAACCUUUUCAACCGGUUUGUUAACCGAUUAUAGUAUUUUUUAAAUGAUUAAAUUUUUCAUUAAUAAAAAUAAUGUGUACCGUUGAUUAGAUCUAAUGGCAUAUAUUUCUUACACUAUUGAUGCUGUAAAAAAAAUUACGGUAUCAUAAAGGGACUCGUAAUUUAAUCCUAAGUGUUUAGGGAGAGCAGUGACCUCUUGAAAAAUCCUCUUGUUACACUUUUUUUUUUCAUUUUUUUCUACUCCUUUAUUUAUUUAUUUUAAAUCCUUAAUUAAUUAUAAUACAUAUAUAUAUUUUUUUUUCCAAAAAAGUUUCUAUCAAAUUGAUAACAUGUAGAUACACAAUGUCAGAAGGAUUUCUAUCCUUGGUAUCAGUCAUUGUGGAACAAUUCAAAUGAAUAUACAGACAACGAGAAAGAGGUAUCAAUACCCCCUCAGAUUUCUCACAAUUACUAACACAUGCGAGGAUUGCUUUUAUUAUUAACAGUUACAAACCCCCUCUAAAUGGAGUUAGCUCUUUUCGAUAGCGGAAAGCAGUGGUAUUACCAUCGUGGUGGGGCAAAAUUUAGAAACUGUAUUUAGGAUAGACUACGAUAAAAAUAUAAAAAGACAUCAACUUUUUCAAGAAAACGGGCGACGAGCUAGUUUGGUUGGGAAUACUAUAAUUUUUAAAAUAAUUGUAAUUAGUAUUACAGUAAAAAUUAUUAAUUAUGAAGAAAAUCAAUUAAAUAUUUAAUAAAAUUUAUUUUUUAAAAAUGUUAUGAGUUAUAAAAGCAGUCAUAUAUAUUUAGUAAAUUUAACUGUUAAACUACUGUAAGAAUAUAAAUGAUUGAAUUAGAUGUUAAGAAAAAUGUAUUUAGAUAUUUAUAAACAUGUAUAUAUAUAUAUAUAUAUAUUAUUGUGUAUACAUAAUAAUUGAUAACUAGAAAUAAAUAUUUUAUAUUAUUAAUUUUAUUUUUAUCUUGUUAUCUCAAUAUAAUUGGUAAUAAUAAUAAUCUCUUUAAAGUUAAUGAUUUUAUUACCUAAUUAAUAAGGAUAAUUUUAGAUUUUUAUAAUUUAUAUAAGGAUACAUAUGAAAUUGUAUACAAUAUAAAGUUGAUUUUCAAAAUCAAAUUUUAAAAAGCUACUCAUUUCUUACUUUUCAAGUGCAUCCGAAAAAUUGGAUAUUUGGAUCUGGUUAAAUUUUAUUUUAAAUUAAAAACUAAAUUAAAAAUAUUUAUUAAAAUUAAAUUAAAAAUUAAAAAUUAAAAUUUAUUUGUCAAUUUAUGUUGUUGUUGUAUGCUAUUCAUGUUGAAUUAUUAAUUGUUGAAUUAUGAUUGAAUUUUAUUUGAUAUUAUUAGGUAAAUUAUUGAAGGUUAUUUUAAAUUAAAAGUAAAUAUUAAAAAUUAAAUUGUAUUUGUGGAUCUUUAUGAUGUUGUUGUAUGUUACUCAUGUUUAAUUAUUAGUUGUUGAAUUAUGAUUGAAUUUUAUUAGGCAAAUUAUUGAAUUUUUAAAUUAUAUGUUAAAUUAUUGAAUUAUGACUUUUGCAGAUCUAGAUAUCCAAAAUAUCUGCCCACAUCUGUUGCGGAUAUAACCUGUAUCCGGAUUCACAUAUUUUUUUGCGGAUUCAGAUGUAGAUCCAAAUGUAGAAAUGUAAUGCAGAUAUAGAUGCAGAUGCACCUAUAUCAGGAUUCGGAUCCAGAUUUUGUCAACCCUAUUUCCCGCACUUUAAAAUUCUAGACCAAAAAACUACUAAUAUAUAUAGGGAAUAAUCUUUGAGUGAUAAUUAUAGAUUAUAAGAUUGUGGGGCUUUGAUUUUUUUUAAAAUUAUAUAAGUGUUUAGUUGAAUUUUUAUUGAAAAAAAUAAUUUUAACUUGGGUUAUUUAUGUAUUUUCAAUUGAAUAGGGGUUUAUAAAUACUUUUGUGGGGGUGUUACUAACAAUACUUCUUUUUCUUUUGGGGCGUGGGGCGUGGGGCGUGGGCUAUAAGUAUGGGUCAUGGCGAUCUAGCAUGUCCUCAUUGGCACCCUAAAAAAAUCCUCUUAGAAAUUUCAUUUUCAAUUAUAUUCUAUUUAGUGGUAAAGAUAAUAUUUUUUUCCCAUUAAAUAGACACUAAUUUCAUUUAUAAAUAUCUCAAGUUUUAAUAAUUUUCUCACUCUUGAAGUCUUAAUAUUUGUAUUCUUCUCUUCAAACUUUCUUUAUUAUUUAAUUUCUAUAAAAAAAUCUAAAAGAGAAAAAGUAAGAAAAACCUUAUACUUAGAAAAAGUAAGAAAAAGCUUAUUAUACAUAUAAGCUUUGGGUGGAGCGAUUAGUUUGAGAAUCCUCAAAAUUAUUUGAAGUGGGAUAAAAUUUUAUUUAGAGUAAUGAUAUAGUCACAAACUCUUGUACAAACUUAUUUUGUACACACUGAUGUGGCACGAUAAAAUUGGCUAAAUUAAAUAUCUCUUGACCCACAUGAUUUAUUUCUAUUAUUUUAUAUUUUCAUUCAACUAAUGAAUUAAUACCACAUCAGUUUGUGCAAAAUAAGUUUGUACAAGAAUUUGUGACUGUAUCAUCACUCUUUUAUUUAAUUUAUUUUCCAUUAUGUUGUAUCCUAAUUUGGUUGCUAUGUUUAUUACAAGAAUUUUGUUUUCGAUUAUAGAAUUACUAUGCAAGUAAAGUAAGUUGCAAAGAGAGAGAGAAAAUGUAAGUGGGUUAAUCUUAAUUCUAUUAAUAUUUGUCCUUAAAUAUGUAAUAUAAUAUAAGCAGAGUUUUAUGAGAUUAAUAAAGGGAUGCCAAUAGUCGACUGGUUAGGCGGGACCCCUACCUGUAAUAUAAAUCAUAAAAUGAAGCGAAUACACAAGGAGGGGGACAUAAACCAAAACCUCAAAGAGUAACUAAAAAUACACACGAAUAACUAAAAAAGAAUAAAGACAACAAAAAGAAAAGGAAAACCAUAAAUGCCAGCAUCUUAUGUGAGAAACAAUCUAUGCAUCCAAAUGGAGAAUACCAGAUAAGUCUGUAGGAAGAUCUUAAGGACAUAAGAAACACUGACUAGAUGAGACCAUGCCCAAUUGACCAAAAAAUUAGCAGCAGAGGUAGCCUUAUGAAACAGUCAGCUCUUAUAGUUUAUACAUGAGCCAACCUACUAAAUUUUUCAUUCAAUGUUAAACUUAUCUUGCCAAUUAUGCCAAUGACACAAUCUUGGGCGUUUAUAUAAUUUCAAUAAGAGUGAUAAAAGAUUUUGAUUGCAACAAAGUAUUUAUACAUAUUGUAUUUAUAUCAAUUAAUUGAGUAAUGACUCUAGCAUGGUUUGAACCCUCCCGACUAUAUAUAUAUAUAUAUAUAUAUAUAUAUAUAUAUAUAUAUAUAUAUAUAUAUAUAUAUAUAUAUAGAAAUGUUUAAAUCCAGAAUUUUAAAGUGCGGAAACGUCCGGGAAAAUGUAUAAACCGUGCGGUUUAAGCGCUUUAAGUUUUCCCGGACUUUUCCCGCACUUUAUGAUCCCGGAUAAAAAAACUACUAUAUAUAUAUAUAUAUAUAUAUAUAUAUAUAUAUAUAUAUAUAAGAGUGCUGGUAUAACAAUAUUGUAUAAUAAAUAUUUAAUUAGUUUAACAUUCGUAUUUAAUAACCACCAAUAAAAGUCUUGCAUUUUGAUUAGAUAAGGUAUAAAAGGGUUGCAGUUUUUAUUUCAUAUUGUAAUGAUAGUACUUUUAAAAUACAGUAUAAAAAUAAGGAUUAGAUUCCUCUCCUGGUUUAAGCAUUCAUGACCUUUUAAUAAUCUUAUUCCAUAUGUCAUGUAGUAAUAGUGUAUGGAUAGAAUAUAUUUUAAAUUUAUUAACCACCAAUGAACACAUAAAUUUUUAUUUAGAAGAAGUUCAAAUCAACAGAUUUUAAUCCGUGAACAUAAUAGAGAUCGAAGAGAAACUACAACUCAAAUAAGAAAAAAAGCCUUACAACUUCAUUUAACAAAUAUUAAAAAAGCCUUACAACUUCAUUUAAUAAAUAUUAAAAAAGCCUUACAACAUUUAUAUUAGAUUCACGAGCAACAAGGGAUCAAUAUUGAACAUGACAUGCAAUUAUUACAUCGAGACAUGAAUGUGUCUUCAAGUAUUAUACGAACUUGAAGCUCUCACACGUUAUUGUUAUUCUUUUAUGAGAAAAUAAACGAAACUAGUAACAUAUAAAAUAUUAAUAUGGUCAAUUAAUAUAUAUAUGUAUGUAUGUAUAUUUCCCUCAGAAACUGCAUAUGCGUGGGGCGUCACCAAUUAAUUAAUGGGUGGACACUGAAAUCCUGCUGGCGGAUACUUGCCACAGUCGUUGACAAGUACUUGCAGGGAGAUGGGUACGAGAAGAUUGAUGAGAUUUGGAGCCUUAAUUCUAAUGGCAGUGCAAAGACAUAUUGCAGCAUCCAAAUCUACUAGCCCAUGAAGCAAUGGGCAGCAUUUCUCCUUAGCACUGUCGCCAAGACCAAUGUGAAUUAAACCACCAAGAACAUCGACACAUGCACUAAGCUUGAGAGCAUUAAUGGGACAAGUUUUUUGUUGUUUUGGUGGCGGUGGGUAUCUCACGUUUGGUGGUGUUGGUGGCGAUUUUACAACUGGAGGAGGAGUUGGUUUUUCCUUUGGCGGUGGUGGUGGUUUCACAACUGGAGGAGGAGGAGUACUGGGUUUCACCUUUGGUGGUGGUGGUGGUUUUACAACUGGAGGAGGAGGAGUGGUUUUCACCUUUGGUGGGGGUGGUGGUUUUACAGCUGGAGGAGGAGGAGUUGGUUUCACUUUUGGUGGUCGGGGCGGCGGCUUAGGGCUCGGCGAAUGAGGCGGUGGGGGACAAUUUGGUGAAGAAGGAGGAGGAGGGGUUGGUUUGGAGCAGUCACAAGCUAAAGAAGAGAGCAAAGCACCCGAGUUCAGGAGGACAAUCAAGAAACUAGUUAAUUGAUAUUUGCCCAUGAUGAAAUAAUUUCGAAACUCUCUAAUGAACUAGCUAGCUAGGGUUUGGAAUGCAUUCACUAUUGAAUGAGUGCCUUUUUAUAGAGAGUAAGAAGUUUUGGAUUUUUAAAAUUUUUCAGUUUUAAUUCGUUGAUCCAUAGACUUAAGGGCAAAGUACAACCCAAGCCAACUCACGAAUGGACAGAUAGACAGACAUUAUAUAUUUUUUUCUUUAAUGCUUGGAACAUGGGAUUGAUUAUCGUUUUAAGGAAGAAGACUCGAUUGAUUAUUUAACCAAAAAGUUGGUAUAGUUAAUUAAGCGUAUUGUUCUUAUAAUUUGAAACGUAAAAUUUGCAAUUAAUCUCUAGCAAAUGCAAAACUUAAAACUCUAAUAUAACUUCUGCAUUAGAAUUUCGAAGGGCGUGGGGACCUGUACUCUCAAUUUCACAUGAAUAUUUGCAAGCUGUUCAAUCAUUGAAGACGAAUGCAAGCAACAAGCAUCUUGCGGGGACACUUCUUCAUUUUUCUUUGGGCCGUUACAUGAUAACAAUAUUUAUAGUUAUAUUAUUAGCCCAUUAACUAAUCUUAAUAUUAGAUAUUUUAACCUAUUAACUAAUCUUAAUAUGAGAUAUUUUUGUUAGUAUUUUUUACUAGUCCUUGUCAUGUAUAAAAUAGACCCACUAGUACACAAGUAAGAGUCUAUCUCAUGUAAAAAUUAACUCAAGAGUUGAGAGUUGUCUCAAGUUUAUAUUUAAUUCAAUAAGUUUUCUCAACCUAUCUGAGAUUUUUUCCUUAUCAUCCCCAUCACUUGCAAACCAAUAUAUCUUUUGUUUUUUUGGUCUUUAUCAUGCGGAAAAAUACAUAGUAUGUGCCAACUUGUGCAUAACUAUGAAUCUAAUACCAUAUAAAGGUAUGUGAGUCUAAUUCAUACUCUAAAAUUAGCUCAAGAGUUAAGGAUUACCUCUAAUUUAUAUUACUAGUUCAGUAACUAAUCUCAGCAUAUGGUGGCUCCACCAGAGGAAAGUGUUAUGCACCUAUAUACAUAAAUUAUAAUGAGUAAAAUUAUUCAUGAUGAUACAACCACAUUAAUGAAUAAUCAGUAGUAAUUGAACCAUGAAAGUGUCAUUCUUCGUUUAAGGGUGCCUUUGACAUAUUGUUUGCACACACAAAAAAAAAAAAAAAAGCGCUCAAAAAAGCCCCAAUUAAGGAUGUCCAUUGUACCCACAUAUGUCAGCAUAUGUGAGUUCUGAAACUCUUCAAAAAAAUACCUUUAUAUUAUUCGGAGUAUAAAUUUAUCUUGGAGAGUUUGGAGCAGAUUUGAUUUGGGUUUUCGUAAAAUUUAAUAUUCAAACAACUACUACUUCUUUAAAAGCAUAAAUAAACAAAUAAAUAAGGUGAUUAAUUUUUGUUUAAUUAGUGUGGUCAUUAAUUAUAGCGAUAUUGAAAUUUUAAUGCAUGAUCUUCUAAGAUUUGUUUUAGUUUUGAGAUUUCAGAUCAUAGUUGUUUGAUUUAUAUUUUAUUAUUUUGUGUUUUCAAAUCUUCGUGUAAAAAUGUCAACUACGCUUGCGCAAAUCUUGCUUUGUCCAUCUUUAAAAGAUCUGAAGAAGCUUCGAUUGCUCCCAAACUUUUAGAAAGAAUUCAAAAAUAUUAAUAUAUACCGCAUGAUAUGCGCUCACUGUUUAGAAAAAAAAUGUACUGCUAGAGUUUAUUUUUAAAUAUUCUCAAACUGCAUUCUGUUUUCUUACUAUAUUUUGGGAAAAUCAGUAUAAUUGAGAUGCGAAUAAGGUCGACAAUUAUACUAUUAAAAUGCAGUACAUGUGUUAUUUACGCAUUGCUUAUCUAAAUAGUUUGUUUUAUUUGCGCAUUGUUUAUAUAUAUAUAUAUUUAUUUAUUUAUUUAUUUAUUUAUUUAUCUAUAAUGUAUAACGAGGAUUCCCAAUCUUUUAAAUAUAAUAAAUAUGAAAAAUCGUUCUUCGUUUCUUGCAUGGCCAUUUUAAUAAAGCAGGUUAAGUUUAGGGAUGGCAAAAUCCUCCACGGGUUUGGGGCCCCAUGGAGCCCCACCCCAAAUGGAGAAAUUUUUUAGUAAUUUUUGGGGAAUGGGGUGGGGAAUGGGGGAAAAGUAAUCCCCAAAUUGUUAACGGGGUGGGGUUUGGUAUUGCACUCCCCACCCCACUCCCACCCCAAUCCCCAUUAUAUAUAAAUAUGUUUUUAAUUCUUAUUUAAUAAUUUGUAUUUUAUCAACUAUAAUGUCAAUUAAUGAUUUUUUUUAAUUUUUAUGUAAUAUAAAUAAAAUAUGAAUAAAAGAAAAUUCUACAAUAUUUUUCAACUUUAAAACAUUAAUAUAUUUUCUUUUCUCUUUUAAGGUGCUGCUUUCUUUAAAUAUUUUUCACUUUUAAUAUCAUUUUAAGAUAUUGUUUCAAAUUUUUAGAGAUUUUUUUUUAAAAUUAAAUACUUUAUAAUAUUGUGAUGAUUUUAUCUUAAGUCUCUAAUUUUUAAUUUACUGAAAUCAUAUUUUUAUAUCUACUAUAAAAUAUGUAAAUGGGGAAUGGGGUGGGGAUGGGGGAAUCAUUCCCCACGUGGGGAUUCCCCAUCCCCAACCCACUAAAUUUAUUGGGGAAUGGAGGCAAAAAUUUUUAAUGGGGUAGGCAUCCCCACCCCCACCCCGCCCCAUUGCCAUCCCUAGUUAAGUUAACGUGAAGUUACAUUUUUGAUCAUUCUGCCAUCUGAAGUAAGACCACAAAGUCGUGACUAUUGUGUAAAAGAAAAGUGAAAACAGAUCAAAGGUGAACAGUUUGACCUAUAAUUUCUCUGUUAACAAAACUAUAAUUAUUUUUUAUCGAACCCAAAAAAAGUAAAAAAAAAAAAAAUGUGUCCAAUAAGCGUUUAGCCUCAAUAAUUGCAUGCAUGCACAGAUAAUGUUCAUGAAAAAUCGACAGUGUUGAUGCAAGAAUUUUCGCGCACCAGCAGGAAGGCCGAAUAACCUUGGUGGUGAGGAUCCUGGGUAAAAUACCGGAGAUGGAAAAUGCGGUUGCUAGCUUUUGAAUUGCUUUAAUUUCAUAGAUACGAAAUAUAUCCAAUGAUACAGUAAAGAAAUAACAUAUGAUAGUAACAAGCCAAUUAGCUAGAUCUCUUCUUUUUAAGCUGACCUUGGUCUUUGUCACCUUGAUGAUAAGAUCCUUCGUGGUAGAAAUAGUAAAGAACAGGUGAGGAUCUCCUCAUGAAGCUAUUUCGAAGUCAAUAAGUAAUGGUGAGGUCAGCAAGAACCUUCUCUCUUAAUUAGUUGCUCUUCCCUCUCUCCUCGAUCAUCUCUUGAAUUAUAUGGGUGCUAUCUCCACGAGUUAAAAGACUUAUUUGUGUUCUUUUUUGUAGAGAAAAUAAAAUAUUCCUGUGCUACGUUCCUCAUUCUUAAUCCACCAUAGUUCUUCUGUUGGACAUUUGUUCUAUUUUCGUUAGUUGUGAUUCCUCAUCCUUAAUCCAUAACUCUUCUAUUGGACACAUGUUCUCCUUUCGUUAGUUAUGUUGAGAUUUCUUAAUGAAAUUUUACUAUAAGAAAAAAAAAAUAGUAAGUAGAGAUUAAUAAAAUCACCUUAAGUACUUUUUUGAGAUAAAAGUCACCUCAUGUACUUUAGAAAUGAUUAACUUUGUUUUUAAGUUAUUUUCAUAUUUAGAUAUUGAGCAUGCUGUCGUAUAUUCUAUAUUUUUUUUAUAUCAACAUGGUGGCAUAUUUUUUUUCUUUUUUUUUUUUGGUAUAACAGAUAAUAUAUGUGCCCUCGCCCCUCGCUCUUUGAAAUUCUAAUGCAUCGGAUACAAGGUAAUUCAUAUAAAAAAGACAAUUUUAAUAAGAUAAUCUUCGAAUACUCUCAUUGAUGAUGUGAACCCUUACCCGCAGCCUCUGCAGUAAAGCCUUCACUAGCUGGCUAAGCCCUUAAUUAGUAAUGACACAUUAAUAAUAUGAUCAAUCGACCAUUGAUCUUCUUGGUAUCACAAUGAAUCCCAUGUUUCAAGCAUGCAAUGAAAGAAAAAGGUAAAUGUCCGUUUAUCUGCCCAUUUGUGAGUUUGCUUGGAUUUUCCUUUAAGCCCUCGAGUCAAUGAAGCAAUCAAAAAUCAUAAAAAAGUAAAACGACCCAAAUACAAAACUCUCUCUAUAAAAAGGCAUCCAUUCAGUAGUGAAUGCACACCAAACCAGCCAGUUCGUUAGGGAGCUUUUGAAAUUAUUUCAUCAUGAGCAAAUAUCAAUUAACUAGUUUCUUGAUUGUCCUCUUGAACUUGGGCACUUUGGUCUCUUCUCUAGCUAAUGACCACUCAUAUAAUCUUCCUCCUCCUCUUCCUUCACCAAGCUGUCCCCCACCGCCUCAGUCGCCGAGCCCUAAGCCGCCGCCGCCACCACCACCAAUUGUUUACCCAACUCCUUGUCCCCCAGUUACAAAACCACCACCCACGCCAGAGGUGAAACCCACUCCUCCUCCUCCAGUUGUAAAACCACCACCCACGCCAGAGGUGAAACCCAAUCCUCCUCCUCCAGUUGUAAAACCACCACCACCACCACCAAAACAACAAACUUGUCCAAUUGAUGCUCUCAAGCUUGGUGCAUGCGUCGAUGUCCUUGAAGGUUUAAUUCACACUGGUCUUGCUCGUGAUGUUAAGAAGAAAUGCUGCCCAUUGCUUGACGGGCUAGCAGACUUGGAUGCUGCAAUAUGUCUUUGCACUGCCUUAGAAUUAAGGCUCUAAACCUCAUCGAUAUCCUCGCACCCUUCUCUUUGCAAGUACUUGUCACCGACUGCGGCAAACAUCCGCCAGUAGGAUUUCAGUGUCCUACCAAUUAAUUGGUGACGCCCCAUGCAUACCAUGCAGUUUGCGUGAAAAGGAGAUCUUAAUCGAUCAUAUUAAUAAUUGCAUGUUACUAGUUUCGUUUAUUUUCUCAUAAAAAAAUAAUAAUAAUAACGUGUGGGAGCUUCAAGUUAGUAGUACUUGAAGGCAUGCACGUGCGUGUGUGCGUAUGCCUUAUCCAUCAGUGAUAUCGCUUAUCAGUUGUAAAACCAAUAUUGUAUGUUGUGCAAUCCAAAUAAGGAAAAAAAAAAUGAAUGUUGUGGAAUAAAUAUUAGGGAAAAGGACAUUCAACCCUUCAACGUUUAGGAAAAUAGACAAAAAACCCUUCAACGUUUCAAAAAGGACUUAUAACUCCCUUUCCGUUAAUAAACACCGUUUGUUUUAACAGUAAAUUAUUUUUAAUUUUUAAUUACUAUUAUACCCUUAUAAUAAAUAUAAAUUAAUAUAUUGAUUUGAGACAUGUCACAAUUAAUAAUUUUUUUUAAACUAAAAAUUGAGAUACAAUUACAUUUUUGCCCAAAUUAUUUGCUACAAAUUAUACAUUUCUAAUGAUCAAACCUUUCAUAUGUGAUUAUUACUAAUAAAACGAAAUUUGAUUAAACCCUUUUUCUUUGAGGAAUCAAAACCAUAUUAUUAUUGUUAGAAAGGUAUAAUUUAUAGUAAAUAAUUUUGGCAAAAAAAUAAUUGUAUCUCAAUUUUAAGCUUUUAAAAAAUUAUUAAUUGUGAUAUAUCUCAAAUUAAUAUAUUAAUUUUUUUAUUAUAAGGGUAUAAUAGUAAUUAAAAUUUAAAAAUAAAUUUACUGUUAAAACAAACGGUGUUUGUUAACGGAAAGGGGGUUAUAAGUCCUUUUUGAAACGUUGAAGGAUUUUUUGUCCAUUUUCCUAAACGUUGGGGGGUUAAAUGUCAUUUUUCCUAAAUAUUAUUUACUGACAAAUUGUUUGGCAUUUAUUUUAGGGAGAGUGACAUUUUAUUUCUUCUUAAAAUUUAUUUCUAACACUUUAACUUUUAAUAUAUGUUUAAUACACCAUUUUAUUCAGAUGUUUGAACAGUUACUAACAAAAUACAGUUUUGAACGGUAAAAGUUAUAUUUCAAUAAAUAACUUAACUAAUUUUUAAUCUGCAGAGGUUUGGGCUAGCCAAUUUGGACAUGAGAAUGUCACCUUUAUUCUUCAACGACCUGUAUUUUUUCUAUUGUCGUUUUAACUCCAAAGAUGAAAUGAGAUAAAGAAAAAAAAAAAAAAGCUACUAGGGACUAAAUAGGUAAAUAGAAAGUUUAGGAGGGAUUAAAAUACUAUUCUUCUUUUAGUUUCUAUAUUUUAAGUUAAGUAUUUAUUUAAUCCCUAUUUUUAAAAAGUAUCUCAAGACAAUCAUGUUGCAAAACGUGUUACACUCCUAUCCUUUCUUUAUUUUUUAUUUUUCAAUAAUACAUUUGCAAUAAUAUUCUUGAAGAUAUUAAUAAAUAGGAAAAAAAUAGAAACUUAUCAAAUUAACCUUAAAAGUAAUAUAAAAAAUUACACAAACUUUUAUAUUAUUAUUUUACGUUUAGGAUUAAUUUAAUAAAUUCAUUUUUUAUAAAAUAAUUAUUCAUAAGAUUGUUGUAAGGUUAUUAAAAAUUAUUUUAAUUGACUGAUAUUAAUUUGUUUAUAAAUCAUUAUUAGUAAAAUUGUUGCACGGUACAAAAAAUACUAUUUCUUUCACAUAGAUAUUUAUUGGUUAAUUUACUAAUAAAUGACGAAUAAUUAAUUUACCAAUUAACUUUUUUAUAGAUAAAUUAAUUAAUGUCAAGAAUAUUGUUGGAAGGGCUAAAUAGAAAGAAAAACUAAGGGUAAGAAUGUAACGUAUUUAACUACAAGAGUGUUUUGAAGUAUUAUAUGGGUGCCAAAAGACUUAUUUGUGUUAUUUCCACGAGUUAAAAGACUUAUUUGUGUUCUUGUUUGUAGAGAAAGUAGAAUAUUUAUGUGUUAUGUUUCUCAUUCUUAAUCCAUAACUCUUCUGUUGGACAUGUGUCCUAUUUUCGUUGGCUGUUGAUUUCUCAUCAUUAAUCCAUAACUCUUCUAUUGGACAUGUGUCCUACUUUCGUUAGUUGUUGAGAUUUCUUGAUGAAAUUUUGCUAUGAGGAAAAAUAUAAAAUAGUAAGUAAAGAUUAAUAAAAUCACCUCAAGUAUUUUUUUGAGAUAAAGGUCAGCUCAUGCGCUUUAGAAAUGAUCAACUUAGUUUUUAAGCUAUUUUCAUAUUUAGAUAUUGAGCAUGUUGUCGUAUAUUCUAUUUUUUUAUAUCCACAUGGUGGCAUUUUUUUUUUUUUUUUGGGGGGUAUAACAGAUAAUAUAUGUGCCCUCGCCCCUCGCUCUUUGAAAUUCUAAUGCAUCGGAUACAAGGUAAUUCAUAUAAAAAAGACAAUUUUAAUAAGAUAAUCUUCGAAUACUCUCAUUGAUGAUGUGAACCCUUACCCGCAGCCUCUGCAGUAAAGCCUUCACUAGCUGGCUAAGCCCUUAAUUAGUAAUGACACAUUAAUAAUAUGAUCAAUCGACCAUUGAUCUUCUUGGUAUCACAAUGAAUCCCAUGUUUCAAGCAUGCAAUGAAAGAAAAAGGUAAAUGUCUGUUUAUCUGCCCAUUUGUGAGUUUGCUUGGAUUUUCUUUCAAGCCCUCGAGUCAAUGAAGCAAUUAAAAUUAACGAAAAAGUAAAACGACCCAAAUUCAUAACUCUCCCUACAAAAUGGCAUCCAUUCAGUAGUGAAUGCACUCCAAACCAGCCAGUUCGUUAGGGAGUUUUUGAAAUUAUUUCAUCAUGAGCAAAUAUCAAUUAACUAGUUUCUUGAUUGUCCUCUUGAACUUGGGCACUUUGGUCUCUUCUCUAGCUAAUGACCACUCAUAUAAUCCUCCUCCUCCUCCCCCCGUUACAAAACCACCACCCCCCCAAAAGUUGAAACCCACUCCUCCUCCUCCGGUUUUAAAACCACCACCGCCGGCGCCGCCAAAGCUGAAACCUCCUCCUCCUCCUCUAGUUGUAAAACCACCACCGCCGGCGACGCCAAAGGUGAAACCUCCUCCUCCUCCUCCAGUUGUAAAACCGCCGCCGCCGCCACCGCCAAAGGUGAAACCUCUUCCUCCUCCUCCAGUUGUAAAACCACCACCACCGCCGCCAAAGGUGAAACCUCCUCCUCCCCCUCCAGUUGUAAAACCACCACCACCACCAAAUGUGGGAUACCCACCGCCACCAACACAACAAACUUGUUCAAUUAAUGCUCUCAAGCUUGGUGCAUGCGUCGAUGUUCUUGGUGGUUUAAUUCACAUUGGUCUUGGCGACGGUGCUAAGGAGAAAUGCUGCCCAUUGCUUUAUGGGCUAGCUGACUUGGAUGCUGCAAUAUGUCUUUGCACUGCCAUUAAAAUUAAGGCUCUGAGUCUCAUCGAUAUUCUCGUACCCAUCUCUUUGCAAGUACUUGUCAGCGACUGUGGCAAACAUCCGCCAGCCGGAUUUCAGUGUCCUAUCAAUUAAUUGUUGACGCCCCAUGCAUAUCAUGCAGUCUACGUGAAAAGGAGAUCUUAAUAGAUCGUAUUAAUAAUUGCAUGUUACUAGUUUCGUUUAAUUUCUCAUAAAAAAAAUAAUAAUAAUAACGUGUGAGAGCUUCAAGUUAGUAGUACUUGAAGGCACGUGCAUGUGUACGUUUGUCUUAUUCAACAAUGAUAUCGCUUAUUAAUUGUGACACCAAUAUUGUAUGUUGUGCAAUCCAAAAAAGAAAAAAAAUGAAAAAUGAAUGUUGUGGAAUAAAUAUUAUUUAUUGAUAAAUUGUUGGCAUUUUUUUUAGGGAGAGUGACAUUUUAUUUCCUCUUAAAAUUUAUUUUUACCAGUUUAAUUUUUAGUAGAUGUUUAAUACCCUAGUUCAUUCUGAUGUUUGAACAGUUAUUAAAAAAAUACACUUUUGAAAGGUAAAAGUUACAUUUUAAUAAAUAAUUUAACUAAUUUUAAUUUGCAGAGGUUUGGGCUAGCCAAUUAGGACAUGAAAAUGUCACCUUUAUUCUUCAGCAAUGUAUUUUUUUCUAUUAUCAUUUUAACUCCAAUGAGGAAAGGUGAUAAUAAAAAAAUUAAAAAAAAAUUAGCUACUAGGGAUUUAACAGGUAAAGAGAAGGUUUAGAAAGGAUUAAAAUUUUAUUCUCCUUAUAUUUCCCAUAUUUUGAGUUAAGUGUUCUUUUAGUCCUUAUAUUUAAAAACUAUCUCAAGACACCUUGUUAAUUAUUAUGUUGCUCUCGUAUUCUUAAUUUUUCUAUUCUUUUACAAUAAUAUCCUUGUCAUAAUAUUCCCGAGGAUGUAAUAAUAUCCUUGAGGAUAUGAAUAAAUAGAAAAAGUAAUAAUUUAUCAAAUUAACCAUAUUAUUAUUUUACUUUUAGGAUUAAUUUAUUAAAUUCAUUUUUUAUAAGACAGUUAUUCAUAAGAUUGUUGUAAAGAUAUUAAAAAUUAUUCUAAUUGGCUAAUAUUAAUUGUUAUAAAUCAUUAUUAAUAAAUUUGUUGCACAUGUACAAAAAAUACUACUUUUUUCACACUGAUAUUUAUUGGUUAGUUUACUAAUGAAUAACUAAUAGUUAAUUUUGUUAGCCUAAAAUGGUCACACAUAUUGUAAUUUUGAUGAUAACAAACACGUGUCUUAAGUGAUUUGAAAAAUAUUGUAUUUCACAUUUUGACUAGUUAUUGAAAGAUAAUAUUUAUAAGGAAGUGAAUCACGUGAAAUCAAACUUAAGACACUCAACGGAAAAUGGCGUGAUCAAGAAUAAAGUUUAGAGCUUAACAGACUCAUUAUUGCAACAAUUCUUGUAAAGCCGGUAUGAUUUAAUAUAUGUAUGACUUAGUAUUUGAGAAACUCAAGAUUUUUAAUAAAUCAUCAUUUUUCAUAAACUAAAGGUUUUAUAAUUAUAAGCCAAGUAUUUUAUGAAGUUAGUUAUUUUUCAAGAUGUGGACUAAAAUGAAAAAGUUUUGUAAUCUUUGAUUUUAAUAAGUGUUGUUUUGAAUUUUGGAAUUGGACUUAUUUGUAAAUAUUUGAAACGUUUUGAGCUAUACUAUAAUUUAUAAACGUAUGAGGGCCUGAGUGUAGAUAUCCUAAAUAGAUAGAAUGUUAGCGGCUAACGGCCUGUGGACUAGCGGCUAGCCACUUGAGGAAAACUUCACAUUUUCAAAUUUUGGACUAAAAUGAAAAAAGUUUUGAAAACUUUAAAAUUUAUAAGUAUUAUGUUAAAUUUUGAAAAGGACUGUUUUGAAAAUUAUUAUCAUGUAUUGGGUCAUAUCACAAUUUUAAAAAUUUUUAGAAAUAACAAGUAUUAUUUAGAAAUUAUGAGAUUGGACCGUUUGUAAAGUUCUAUGACGUUUUGGGCCAUAGUAUAAUAAUUGUUGCAAAAUUCAAAUUUAAUGGUAACUUUACUGUUCUGAAGCGGGGAGCCAGAUAAAUUAAGCGGCUAACCGCUUGGUUGCUGGAAUUUGCCUAUAACGGCUAGCAACUUCAAUUUCAAGACUCUUGCAAGUAUAAAUAAGUGUAAACAACAUAUUUGGAGCUUUCAAAUUAGAAAAUCAUUAUAGAUUAAAUCUUCAUUGAGAUAUCAUUUGUUCAUUCACUCUAAAAGAAAGUUCUUUGUUGUAAUCUUUAUUUUCUUAUCAAAUUUGUGAGUGUAUAAGUGUGAGAAAUACUUGAGCGAAGAGAUUGAGAGAUAAUCUCUUGGUUGCAAAGAUUUAUUGACACCUUAGAAGUCAAUUGUAAAGAACUUGAAGUUAUGGGAAGCUUGGAUAGUGAAAUCCUCGAGCUUGGUUGACUUGAAGGCGUGGACGUAGGCGGGGAUUGCCGAACCACGUAAAAAUUGUUGUGUUUGCUCUCUCUUCCCUUACUCUUUUAUUAUUGUGCUUUAUUGAAGUUAUUGUUUUUUAUUUGAUUAAUGCAAUAGAUUAAAUUGUUGUGCGACAUAUUUAGCGUAAGUUUUAAAAUCUCAAUUCAACCCUUUCUUGGGUUGCAUAACUUGCAUUUCAAAUUUACCAAUUAACUUUUUUUAUAGACAAAUUAAUUAAUGUCAAGAAUAUUAUUGGAAGGGUUAGAUAAAAAUAAAAAGUAAGGGUAAGAAUGUAACAUAUUUAACUAUAGGAGUGUUUGAGGCACUUUUUAAAGUAUAACGGCUAAAUUGGCAUUUAAAUCAAAAUAUAGAGAUUAAAUGAGUAUUUAAACAUCAUUAUUAAUUCUUUCUUUUUCUUGGUUUUUCUUAUUUUUAUUCCCUGUUGCUGCUGAGGUUCAUUUGAAAAAUAGUUAUAUUAAUUUUUUUUUUUAUAUUUUCAAAGAAUAUCUAAGCCUAAUUUGAUAACAAUAUCUAUUUCAUCUGCGACAUUAAGAUGUAAAAGAAAGCACAUUUUUUAAAUUUUUUAUGGCCUUUAAUAUCAAUCUAAUGUGAUGUGUAUAUCAGAAGGUAGAGAUAAUUAUUCAUUUAAAGAUUGCCAAUAUUUAUUUAAUAAUAAUAAUUUCCUUUAUUGCAUGGCCAAUUUAAAAUAAGAGAUCGUAUGACUAGUAUGUGAAAAAGAAAGAAACGACUAAAACACAUUAGCAGACAACAAUUCCAUAAAAAAAAUUAUACUUGGGGUGAAAAGAAAAAUUACCUCUCAAAAAAAAAAACUAGUCAAUAAUAAUAACAUAAUAAAAAAAAUUAUUUGUACAAACAAAUGUGACAUAACAAUAUUCUUUGAAUGAAAACAUAAAUAAAUAAAUAAAUAAAAAUAAUGUGAGUUAAGUGGCAUUUUUAUUCAACCAAUGCUGAAUGCUAUAUUAAUUUGUACCUUGUACAAGAUAAUUUAUAAAAGAAGCUUGCAACUCUGUCAUCGCUGAAAAAGAAUUAUAUAUGUGUGCUUGAAUUUAAGAUGCUCAUGCAAUCGUUUGGAAAGAGGUUCUCCAACGGAGAUAUCAAAGUUGCUCACUCAUGAUAUGUUCAUGGGUCUCCCACGCUCUUUUUUUUUUUUAAUGGUUUCUCUCCUGUAAUUUUAGUUGCAUUUGCUUCCUUUUUUUUAAUAUUAUGGUUUUUUUUACGAUAUUGAAUCUUUUUCUUUUAGAGAUAAGAUUCAUUAUGUCUUUAGGUUAAGAUUCAAUGCUCAAGUGAACUUGUUCGCAUUCUAAUUCUGAGCUAAUUUGAUUUACUUUAGUUUUUUAAUUUUAUAUUAAUGAAUUCUCUCGCCUUGUGGAAAUUCGAUCCCUUUUUAAAAUAAAAAUGCCAUAAUGUUGAUAUAUUUCAGAGUCAAAGAUUAAUUUCUUCAUUUCAAUUUUUCUCGAAGUCAGUCACUUUGGCCUUACUCUGCCACGAUAUGUUCUUGACUUUCAAAAGGUGGCACCACGGUCAUCGUUAAAGAAAAUAUUUACAAAUAAUAGUGAUGAAAAUAGACAAUGCACUCAAUUUUCUCUGAAUUAAGCAAAAAAUCAAUAAAAUGUCUAUGAAAUUCCUCCUUCCGCCAAAAUUUAUGAAAAAAGAAAAUGACCCAUUCAUUUUAUUUUGUACAUUUGUGCAAAUUGCCCCUCUGGGAAAAGAUGUUUGAGUAUUGCUGAAUACCUGUAAAUUAAAAAAACGAAAAUAUCUGUGCAGAGUUUGUUACCUUUUAUGGUUUAUAAUAACAGAAAAUUUUGAACCCCAUAUUUGAGAAGAUUUUAGCAUGCUUUCUCAAUCAUGGGCAAAACAAAGCACUACAUGUUAAUAAUAUAAUGCCUCAAUUAUCAGAACCGUGUUUUCUUGAUUCUCUUUAUCCUCCAAACUUUGAAAAGAUUAUCUCCUAAUCCUUGCUGACAGGAACCCAAUGCCAUGUGGUCAGUUUUGGUGACUGUAUGUAUGAUUAUUCUACAAUGAAGAUAAAUUAACCACAAAAACUAACUACUUCUUCUCCCAGCCCUAAACCACCAUCUGACGAACCGAAACCUUAUAGAAAGUGGAAAAUUUGUGAAAAAAAGAUAAAAGAAAAAUAUUUUACAGCUAUAUUUAGGAUUCCCUAAAGUUUUUAGUGAUAGAAACCCAAGCGAUGUGUAAUUUCAAUCUAUUUUAUGAGGAUGCAAGCCUUUAUUAUAAAAUAUUAUAAAAUAAUUAAAAAUUAGGAUUCCCUCACAAUCUUAAACUUCUAAACUAAAUUCAAAUGUGUGAUAGAUUGUUAAUAAAUAAAAGUAUAAAAGAUCUUUUAAAGUUCAAAGUGGCUUAAAUCACCAGAAAAUCUAAUCUCGAAAAUUAUUAAAUGAUUCAAAAAAUAUCUCAUAUUACCUAAAAAUAGUUAGUUAUUAGACUAUGAAAACAAGCUUACGGCAACCCUUAAUUAAACUUCUGUGCCUUUCAAUGAAAACAAGAAAAAUUUGAAGUUUAAAUUAGAGUUUCUAAAAAUUAUAUUAAAAAACUAUUAAAGUUUCAUAGUAGUGCUAGGAAAUAACUUCAAAUGCUAUUUUGAAAUCCAUAAGAGAGGAAUUGGCAAAAAUAUAACUGUUCUUAUAGUCUAAGGGUGUGUUUGACACAUUGUAUUGUAUUAUGUUGUAUUGCAUUAUUUUAAUGCUGGUGUAUUGUAUUAUGAUGUAUUGCAUUAGCACUGUAUUAUAAUAAUGUUGUACAAUAUUUGAUGCUACACUUUAUUAUAUUAAUGUUUUUGUGAUUAACUUAAAUUAUAUAUUUAGAAAAUAAAAUUUAUUAGUACCUAGAAAAAUAUAAAAUAUAGAAGUCUUAAAUUUUAGAAAUUUAACAUUAUUUUUUAGUAUAAAUAUUAAAAAAACAUUUUUUUUCAUAAAGAUUGAAGCUUAUAGCCUUAUAAUCGACAACAUAACAUUUAUUUUAAAUUAAUAUUAUUUAAAUUUAUUCAUAUAUAAAUAUUUUUAUUAAAUUUUUCUAUAUUAAUUACUAUAAUAUAAUUAAAUAAUGUAAUAUCAAGCUAUAUUCUUAUUUUUAUAUAUUAUUUAAGUACUUAUUAAUCAAUUUGAUAUAUUAAUUAUUAUAUAAUUAAAUAAUACAUUAUUUAGUAAUAUUUUUAAUAUAAUAAAAAUUAAAAUAUGAAUAACAAUUUAUUAAUUUAUAUGAAUAAUUAUGAUAUAAAAAUAAAGAAAAUAAAAAUUUAUAUUAUAUUUAAAAGUUAUAUUAUUUAUUAUUAUUAAAAAAACAAAAGCAAAAGUAAAAAAAAAAAAAAAGAGGCAGCAAAUGCAAAAGCACAAAAGCUAAUGCGGCAGUUUCCCGACUCCCAGUCGGGUUUAGCUAAUGCGGCAGUUUCCCGCAUUAGCAUACCCCUUAAUCCCUUGUAAAAUUUUGCCAACAUGAUAUUGGUAUUAAGCUAAUGUGAACAGUAUUUUAAUACACUAUAAUACCAUGCACCAAACACAGCCUAAGAAUAUUAGUUGGGACAUAAAUAAUGUAACGUCUAACAUUGAAAGUUUAAAUGAAGAAAUAUUUGACAAAAAUUAGCUUAUCAUCAGCAUUAAAAGUGUGAAUCUUAAACUAAAUUAAUGCACGGAUAAUGUUGCCUUUCAGCAUUAAUCACAAAUGCUUUACAGUCCUCCUAAUAAGAUUAUGAAAAAAUUGGCUCUUAGUUAGCACUCCGGCCAAAGUCAGCAUCCAUGUCAUCGGAGUCCCAUAUUCCAUUUCCUCAUCUUCAUGAUCCGCCGCUUGAAACUGUAUAUCAGAUAAUCUUUCCUGACGCUGGACGCAUGUUGCUUGCUGUGACUUUGAUAGAUUAUUAAGAAGCUGAUGCAACGGAAGUUUAAUGUUCAAAAUAUUCCGUUGAUUCUAGAAAAUACAGGAACAAAAGAACAACUAAAUUCACGUUGAUUCAAAAGAAUACCGCGAAUUUAGGGAUUAAGACUCGUUGAUUCCGCAGAAUACCGAGAAUUAACUGUUCAAAUACUCACAAAGAGAUUUAAAAAUUGAAAUAUUAUUAAUCUCAAAAUUCUCUCCUCAAAAGCUACAAAAGACACUUAUUUAUACUAAGUAAGACUUAUCCUAAUAUGAUUAGAAAACCUAUUUUAAUAAGACUUAUGCCUAAAUUAUGAAUAUUACUCAAAUAAGCAAUACCUAAACAAUAAGACUCUAAAUAGGAAACCAAAUUAAACUAGAAUACAAAUUAAUUAAAAUAUUCCUAAAUAUUAUACAUUUAAAUAUAAUUAGGAUUUCUUGAAUUUCAUGCUCUGCAUCAUUCCCGCCAGGUUGGAGAAAAUUCGUCCUCGAAUUUUGUAUGUUGUAGUCUUCAAGAACAUCUUCAUGUGCAUAAGGAUUAAUUUUUAAAACAGAGCUUUGACAUAGACGACAAACUUUAAAUUUUCCAACUUUUGUAAUAAUGUCCAUCCAAUCACUCCAAUGGCGUAAAAUAAAUUCUUCUAUCAACAACUUCUCCAAUAAUGUCUUCUCGUAUUGUUCGUGUCGAACUUCAACAUAGUUGAGGAAAAACGAUUUCUUCUCAUAAUCCACUAACUGUUGAAAAAUAUCACAACUCUUUUUGUCUUCUUUCAGCAAAUCAAGAGAACAAUAAGAGAUUGUAUCAACAACUAUCUCUCUCUCCUCCACAAGAUCAAAAGAUGGAUGAACAAUUACCUCUUCUUGUCCCACAAUAUCAAGAUACUCAUCAAAUUUCGGCGAUUGAUCCAAAUCAAUGUCUUUGUGUUGAGGAUUUGUUGUAGACAUGAAUGGCCAAUUAAUAUUCUCCUCGGAAGGAAUAAUACUAUCGAAAGGAACAAAGUUACUAUUUUCCUCAUUAUCUUCAUAACAACCAUCAUCGUGAACAACGUCAUCAAAUCUAUAUGCAUGCUUUAUGUGUAAAGAUUUUCUAUCUCGAAUUUUCUCUAAAUCUUGAGAAAUUGAAUGCAAAAUCCUCAACAUCUUAACUAAAACAUCUCUCAAGAUGAAAUCUUCACGUCGAUGUUGUGAUUUCAUGAUAUAAUUUUUUUCUUUUUUUUCUUUUUUUUCCUAUGCUUUUUUGGUGUUGUUUGGGUUUUUUUUUUUUAAACUAAACGGAAAAAAACAAAAAGGAGAAAGGAAACGUUUGGUGGUAGAUGGGAUUAGAUGAGUAAUACCAGGUUUUGUCUCUGAUACCAAACUGAUGCAGCGGAAGUUUAAUGUUCAAAAUAUUCCGUUGAUUCUAGAGAAUACCGGAACAAAAGAACAACUAAAUUCACGUUGAUUCAAAAGAAUACCGCGAAUUUAGGGAUUAAGACUUGUUGAUUCCGCAGAAUACUGAGAAUUAACUGUUCAAAUACUCACAAAGAGAUUUGAAAAUUGAAAUAUUAUUAAACUCAAAAUUCUCUCCUCAAAAGCUACAAAAGACACUUAUUUAUACUAAGUAAGACUUAUCCUAAUAUGAUUAGAAAACCUAUUUUAAUAAGACUUAUGCCUAAAUUAGGAAUAUUACCCAAAUAAGCAAUACCUAAACAAUAAGACUCUAAAUAGGAAACCAAAUUAAACUAGAAUACAAAUUAAUUAAAAUAUUUCUAAAUAUUAUACAUUUAAAUAUAAUUAAGAUUUCUUCAAUUUCAUGCUCUGCAUCAGAAGCUGAGCUCUUAUUUCAUCCAAAUGCCUACGUUUGUUUUUAUUCUUCAGUUACUUAUUUGAGCCACAAAAAGUGUAUACUUAGGACCACAAUAGUUCAUAUAUUAUUCUUUCUAUAAAUACUCUUGUUUUGGGCAGUUACAAAGGCGUAGAGUGGUAGAGGGCUACAGGCAUCGGGCACGGCUUGUUUGAGGUCUCAUGUUUCAAUUCCCAAAUGAGCCUCAGGAACACCCAGCUGCUUCCAUCAAACACUUGGCCAAGCAGCAUUAUUCAGCUACUUUUAACUCUUAUUAAGUCAUUUUAAGUGCUGCUGUUAAAUAGAGAAAUUUUAGAAUACAUUAGAGAUAAUACAACUAAUUAAUGUGUGUAUGGCAUGCGUAAUCGAACUCAAUAUAACCUCAACUUGAACGGUAGUUUUUAUUUUUCAAAAUAAAUACUUAUUAUUAUUAUUAUUUACUUAUUGUGUGCUUGAUAUAGUAAAUCUGAUUAUAUUUUAAAAUUUAUCCCGUUAAGGAAAUUACUAAGCAUCAAGCCACUAACAAUCUCUACCAGCAGUAUUUGAGUGAGAACGGUCCCUUAUCAAAAGAAAAAUCAAAUGCUUGAGUAAUACAUAAUUGAAACCAGCAUAGAACUUUUUUUAAGAGGUCUAUCCAGUUAUUAUUUUUUUUUAUAAUUUUUAAUUUUUACUUUUCUUGGGAUAUAUGGACCAUGGCCUCCAGGGAAUACCGGCAACUUUAAAAAAUAAAUUAACGUUUGACUGGUUGUAAUACCCAACGUACUAGAGAACAACAAUACGAAUCGCACAUUUACAAGUGUAAAAUCGCAGGGGAUCAUGUGGAAAUGUCAUGUGAAAUUAACGUGCAUAUUACAAAUUGUAUCCAUCAAUUUUUUGUGUUUUCGAAUCUUCGUGUGGAAAUGUCAACAUAUAUUCUUUCGCGCAAAUCUCGCUUUGCCCUUCUUUAAGAGGGAAAAGAUAUGAAGAAAUAUACACAUAUACGGUACAGCUAGAUUUAAAUUUUUAAUAUUCUCAAACUGCAUGCAUUGAGUUUUACUAUUGGCAGAAGCAGUACUUUUCAGAUACGAACGAGUUCAACAAUUAUAUUAAAAUGCAAUAUAUGUGUUAUGUCUCUGCCCAUUUUUUCUAUUUAUGCGUUGUUUAUGUAUGUAUGUAUUGUGUACAACGUGGAUUCACAAACUUUAAAAAAAAAUAUUAAAUAUGAAAUUAAUAUUAUACCACGUUUCUUGCAUGGCUAUUUAAAUAGAGGUUAAGUUAAAGAGAAGAUAUAUUUUUAAUCAUUCUGCCAUUUGAAGUAAGACCAAAAAGUCAUGAACUAUUGAGUAUAAAACAAAAACAGACUACCAGUGAACAGUUUAGGCUAUAAUUUCUAUGUUUAAUUAGAAACUGUAAUUAUUUAUUGUACAUUAUCGAACUCAAAAAGGGAGGAAAAAAGUGUCCAAGCAUACAGCUAGCCUUCAUAAUAUCACAGCUAAUGUUCAUGAAAAAUUGAUGGUACAGGUGUACUCGCUCGUUCUUUGAAAUUCUAAUGCAGAGCUUUCCAAGUCAUGAAAUUAAUUCUGCGAAAAGAUAAUUUAAUUUGAUAAGAUAAUCCUCAAAUGCUCUCAUUGAUGGUGAACCCUUACCCACAUGCAUGCAAAGUAUCUAUGUCUUAGCUAUAGCUAAGAGUGAAUUUAAUUAUUAAUAACACCUUAAUACUAUAAUCAAUCGACUAUUGAUCUUCUUAGUAUCAUAAUCAAUAACGUGAAAGGUAAAAAAAAAACCGAAAAAGCAUGAAGGAGAAAAAGGGUAAAUGUCUGUCUAUCUGUCCAUUUUUGAAGUUGGCUUGGGUUGUCCUUUAAGUACCAGAGUCAAUGAAGCAACAAAAACUAAUGAAAAAUUAAAAUGACCAAAAAUUCAUAACUCUAUCUAUAAAAAAGGCAUUCAUUCGAUAGUGAAUGCACUCCAAAUCCUAGCUAGUUAGCUCAUUAGAGAGUAUUGAAAUUAUUUCAUGAUGGGUAAAUUUGCCAGUUUCUUGAUUGUCCUCUUGAACUAGGGCGCACUUUGCUCUUUUCUCUAGCUUGUGACUGCUACAACCCAACUCCUCCUUCACAAGUUUCAAGUUAGUAGUACUUGAAUGCACAUCCACGUAAACAUAUGUCUCAUAUUCUUAUUCAACGGUGAUAUCUUAUUAUUAUUAUUAUUAUUAUUUAUCAUAAGUGAUAUCUUAUUAUUUGUGAAACUAACAUUGUAUGUUGUAAAAUCCGAAAAAGGAAAAAAAUUGUAUGCUGUGUGAGUAAGUAUUAUCUAUUGAUGACUUGUUUGGCAUUUUGUGUAUGGAGAGUGGCACUUUAGUUCCUCUUAAAUUUUGAUUUUUCCACUUUAGCUUUUAAUAGAUUAUUAAUGAUGUUUAAACAGUUAUUAACCAAAUACAAUUUUGAAGGGUAAAAGGUUGCAUUUUAACAAAUAUAUUAACUAGUUUUAAUUUACAGAAGUUUCGGCUAAUUAAUUUGCAUAUGAAAAUCUUUCAUUUAUUCUAGAGAAGUGCAAUUUUCUACUGUUUUUUUUUAACACCAAAAUGAAACGACGUAUUAAAAAUCUAGCUAUUAAGGACUAAUGUGGUAAAAAUAAAGUUUAGGAUAGAUAAAAAAUAUCACUUCUUUUGUUUAUAAUUUGACGUUUCUCCUCUCUCUUUAAUUAUAUAUAUACAGUAUCAAUUUUUUGUGGUUUGAAAUAACAUCUCAGCCUUAUUUGAUAUCAAUCAUUUCAUCUCUGACAUUAAAAUGUAAGUAUGUAACAUAAAAGAAUAUUUUUUGAGUUAUCAUAGCCUUUAUAUCAAUCUAAUGUGAUGUAUAUCUCAUAAGGCAGGAAUAAUUUUGCCUAUUAGCAAGUUACUAUUAUUCUUUACCAGUAAAUUUUUAACGUUGACAUUUUUAAGUUAGAAAUGUAAUGGGUAAUUCAAAAAAAAAAAAUAAUGGUAAAAGUGAGAAAUUAAAAAAUUAAUUGCGGUUAAGGAUUUUAUUCAAAAUUUCUUAUAAAUAUUAUCAGUUAAAUCAAAUAUAUUCAUUUUCCAGAUUUUAGAAAAUACAGUAUAUGUACAACAUCUGUUAUACAUUUAUUAAAAUUUACUUAACGACUAUAAUAUAAGAAGCGAAGUAGUUGUGGCAAUAUAAUUAUAUAUCUAUCAUUAAUGUAUUAAUAUAAGAAAGAAAGUAUUUUGAAUGAAUUGCAAGUUUAUUAACAAACGUACAAAACGAUAAUGUGUAUAGUAUAAGUGAAACAAGAAACAAAGGAAGGGAGGCCUCUAGUAAAAGCAUCAUCCUAAAGUCAUCAUGUCACACUUAAAUUAAACUAAUUACAAUAAUGCUAUGUUUACUAAGUUUAGAUAUUUAGUUGGGAUACUCACUGAUGUGUCACCAAUAAUUUAAUAUCAUAUGUAUGAUAUUAAUUGAUUUUAUUAUUAAUUAAUAACAAAUUAUUUUACAAUCUACUUAACGGAUGAUGUGCAACGCCAUUAGGGGCUCAUUUAGGAUUACUUUUGCGAGGCUCAAAAGUGAUUGAAAAGGUAAAAGAUAAUUUUAAUGUAUGAUAGAUUUUUCUAAAAUUAAUUUUGUCAAAAAGAUGGGACUAUUUGAACCUGUAAAAAUACUCUUUAAACCUAAUUUUAAAUAAAAAAACUAUAUUAUAACAAAACCCUUUUAUUAAAUUACUAUAAAAGACAUGAUAUUUGCAUCUAUUUAUAAAAGACAUGAUAUUUAUGCACAUUUAUCAUGUAUAAAAAAAUAUCUUUUAAAUCAAAAAAAGAUUAGCAGCUCAUAUAAACAGAUACGUUAGAAUUUAAUUCAUGGAAAUCAACCUACUUUAUAAUGCAAUCAUCCAUAUUUCAAAGAGAGACCAAAAAAAAAAAAAAAAAUCAGAAUCCCAAAUGAAGAGAAUUUAAUGUUAAAAAAAUAAUUUGAUCUUAGAGACAAUCGUGGGAAGUAAAACGUUUUUUUUUAAAAAAAAAAAUCUACUUUAAAUUUAAAAACCAAAGAUCAAUUGUGGAACUUUUCUUCAUUAAUAAAAUAUUUCUUACUUUCUAAAGUGUAAGUGGUUGUCGUUAUUAAGAUUUCAUCGGAUAAUUUUGGUAAGAUUGGAAUUUGUGAAAAGAAAAUGAAGAAAGAUUAUGUUUGGUAUUUCUGGAAAAAUAUUUUAUUGUUGUUAAUAGAGAAGAAGAAAAAGAUGGCAGUGUAAAUGGGCAUUUAUAAAGCAUUAUUAAAAUGAAAAAAUAAUUUUUAAUUAAGUCUAAUUUAAGGAUUAUAGUAGGUUUAUAGAGUUAAAAUUUAAAUGAAUUAUUUUUUUGUCAUGGGUGUAUAGAGUAAACAGGUUUAGAGAGAAAAUUUUUGGGUUCAUAUAGUCUCAUCCUUGGCAAAAUUAGCCAAUUUUGAUUUUGAGAAUAACUUUUAUACUAAAAUUUUAAAGUACGGAAAAGUUUGGAAAAAUGCAUAAACUGUGCGGUUUAAUCACUUUAAAUUUUAAGCUUUUAAAACCCUAGGGUUUUAAAGUUUUCCUGAACUUUUCCUGUAAUAUCCAUAUAUCUUUAUUAUUUAGGAAAUAAAAUCAUUAACUAUAAAUAAAUUAUUAUUAUUAUUACUAAUUAUAUUGAUAUAAUAAAAUAAAAAUAAAAAUAUAAAAUAUUUAUUUUAGUUAUCAAUUUUACUUGUACAUAAUAAAAAAAUAUUUCAUAUGCAAGUUUAUAAAUGUUUAAAUAUAUUUUAUUGAACAUAAUGUCCAAUUCAAUUAUUUACAUUUUUACAUUAGUUUAACAGUAACAUGUACCAAAUACAUAAAAUUACUUUUAAAACUCACAACACUUUUAAAAAUAAAAUUUAUCAAACAUUUAAUUAAUUAUCUCAAUAACUGAUUAUUUCUACAUCACAGUUAACAUUAAUUAUUUAAAAGGUGUAAUAUUAUGAAAUUAGCCCUAAGUAGUGUCACAGUGGAAUAUUCAAAGUGUAUAAUUAUAUCAUCACUCAACUAAUUAAUGAUUAGGUGAAACACAGAUUUUAUCAACUGUUUGUAAAUUCCGAAGCUUCUCCUGUUAAGAGAAUUUUCUUAGAAUCUCAACAUGAAUAGAAUUUUCAUGUGAAAAUCAUUGGUUGAUUUAUUAUUCAUAAGUCAACUAAGCUUGCAUAAAUCUCGCUUGUCCCAUCUUCAAAAAAGAUUUCUUCCGAAUUUUAGGACUAGUCAAAAUCUCACGAUCUUGCUAUCACAAAUUACGAAAUACAGCUAGAUUUAUUUAAUUUUCUUUUAAUUUUCUCAAGUGCAUUUAUAUUUGAUAUUUCUAAGUUAGCACUGUCAGUGACAGAAGCAGUAUCUCUUAGAUUCAACUGAUGUGGAUAACUAUAUUAAAAUGCAAUGCAUACAUGAUUUGUAGAUCUUGUUAUGGAUUUAAUAGAGUGGUUUUCAAUUGAUUUUAUUUAAAUAAUCAUAUGGAUUCAGUCCUAAGAGAAAUAGGGUUAAAAAAUUAAUUUAAAUUUUACAUGCUUUCUAACCUUUAUAUAUAUAUAUAUAUAUGCCAAUUAAAUAUAAGUUGUGUUAAGUGUUAAAGUGAAGUAAAUCCAUUUUCAUCAAUCUGGCAUUUGAAGUAAAAGACCGUAAAGCCAUCACUAUGCAAACAAAGUAAUCAAAAAACUAAAAUAGUUUCCCUUAUUAAUGAUGUGUCCAUGUUUGCAAAAACUUUUCCUCAAUAAUUGAACCAAAACAGGAAAAUAAUUGAUUUGCAAGUAAAGGUACCCUCGCAGGCCCGCCCCUUGAAAUUCUAAUGCAGAAGUUACAACUAUUACAUUUGGUAAUUGAGUUUAUUAAUGAAAGAAAUUACGUUUCAGACUACAAAUAAUUCACUUAAUUAUCCCAAUAACUCAUUAGUAUUAUUAUAAUAAUCAAUCGAAUGUUCUUAGUAUCAUAAUGAAUCCCAUGUUUCAAGCAUGAAUGAAAAAACAAAUGGGAGUAUCUCUGUCUAUAUCUCCGUUCAAUGGUGAGCUGGCUUGGGUUGUCCUUUGGGCCCUAAAGUCAACAAAUCAACAAACAGUUAAAAAAUUAAAAUGAUCCCAAAUUCAUAACUCUCUCUAUAAAAGGGCAUUCAUUCAAUAGGGAAUGCAUUCCCAACUUAGCAAGCCAAGCUCUUUAGAGAGUUCUAUAAAAAAAUUUCAUCAUGGGAAAAUAUCAAUUAGCAACUUCCUUUAUUCUACUCUUGAACUUCGGCACUUUGCUUACAUCUCUAGCUUGUGACUGCUCACCUCCUCCCCCUGCUUCUAAGACACCAAACUGUCCCCCACCGCCUUCUUCACCGAGCCCUAAAACGCCACCACCUCCUCCUCCGUUUGUAAAAUCGCCGCCACCACCACCUCCGGUCGUGAAGUCGGCCCCUCCGCCUCCGCCUCCUGUUACAAAGUCACCGCCACCUCCUCCACCGGUUGUCAAGUCACCCCCACCACCGAUUGUAAAGCCGCCACCGCCUAACGGACCAAGCCCUAAGUCACCACCGCCACCUAGUGUGAGAUACCCACCGCCACCAAAACAACAAACUUGCCCCAUUGAUGCUCUCAAACUCGGUGCAUGUGUUGAUGUUUUAGGUGGGUUAAUUCACAUUGGUCUUGGUGACAGUGCUAAGGAGAAAUGCUGCCCAUUGCUGCAAGGGCUAGCAGAUUUGGAUGCUGCAGUAUGUCUUUGCACUGCCAUUAGACUUAAGGCUCUGAAUCUCAUUAAUCUUCUCGUGCCCAUCUCCCUACAAGUACUUGUCAACGACUGUGGCAAAUAUCCGCCCGCAGGAUUUCAGUGUCCUGCUUAAUUAGUGACGCCUCAUGCAUGCAUGUUGCAACUGCGUGGAAAAGAUUAAUUGACCAUAUUAUUGUUUGUUAUCUUCUACCUAGUUUCGCUUUGUUCAAUGAUAAUAAUUAAUCUGAGAGCUAGAAGUUCAAGCUCUUCGAGGAAAAAUCCUCUAGAUAUAUGUAUUUUGUUUCUCUUGUUGCACGUCAAACCGAAAUGUGCUCUGAUAUUAUUUGUUAUUUGAUAUACAUUUAAUAAAUCAUAUGUGUCCAAGUAAAUUAAAAGUUUUUCUCUAUCUCCCUUCCAUUCACAUCAGUACAUUCGAUUUACAGUGGCGGAUCUAGAAAAAUAAUUUACCAGGGGUUAAAUUAUAUAAUAGUAAAAUUUUAAAACUAAAACUUUGAAUGUAUAAAAUAUCCGUUAAUACAUUUAUAAUUAUUCUUGGAGUAUUUUCAAAAAUAGAAAAAUGUUUGUGGUGAUGACCUAUCAUUAUUUUUAAUUAUAGUAGGCUUUUAUAAUUCUAAAAGUUAAAGUUUAAAUUUUGUGAGUUUAUAAAUUUAUAGGGUCAAUUUUAAUAGAUUUAAUGGGGGCUAAUUAGAAAUCUUAAAUAUUUUUUUCUUUUAUUCCUAGAAUUAUUUUUUUCAGUUAGCGGGGGUUGUAAUCCCCACUGGUCACGUACUGCAUCCGCCCCUGGACAUAUAUUCAUAUGCCCGUUGAUCAAUAUAUGACUUUUAACAUUUUUUUUAAGAUUUUCGUAUCAAGUCACCAUUCCAGCUCUUGUUGUAGGAAUCAGGUGAUGUUCAACAACAAGAGCUGGAAUGGUGACUUGAUCGUCCGGGAUAUUAAGGCAAGGACUGAGAGUAUUUGUUCUACCUUAUCCAGCGUCGGCUAUCGAAGAAAUGCAAGGAUUCAGAAAUGGAUUCGUUGGGAUCCUCCACCAUGGCCUUUCUUAUGCUUGAAUACGGAUGGUGCAAGGAAAGGAAAUGGAGAGGCGAGUGCAGGUGGCCUGUUGCGGGACUGCCAUGGUAAUUUUAUUCAUGGUUUCAGCGCAAAUCUUGGAGUUUGUUCGGUUAUAAAGGCUGAACUUUGGGGUGUCUUGCAUGGGUUAAGAAUGGCAUGGGACCUUGGAUAUAGACGUAUCCAAGUUGGAACAGACAACUGUAGUGUUGUACAGCUUAUCAAGGAGAACAAUGCUAAUGUCACUGAAUUUUCGAAUAUAAUCGAGAUGAUUAAGGAUCUCAUAAGGAGGGAUUGGAGGAUUCAAAUUGAUCACAUCUACCGCGAAGCAAAUUCGGCGGCUGAUUUUCUUUCUACGCAUGCUUUGAGUUUGCCUCUUGGAGUGCACUUUUUUCACUCUGUACCUUCAGGUUUGAGAUCUAUUUUGUAUUCGGAUAUGUAUGGGGUGGCACACCCCCGUUUUGUGCCCCUCUAGCUCUUCUCUUUCAGAGCCCUUUGUUUAUAAAAAAAAAAUAAUAAUAAUUGAAAGACAAUUAAUUUUAAAACACGUGAUAUAUGUAUUUACAUUAAAAGAGACCUACUGUUGCGGCUACAAAAAUUAAGGGUAUGCACACUCAUAUUUGGCAUAAAUAUUAGUUGACAAAAUAAAAAUAAUAAAAAUAAAUCAUACGAGCUAUAUGAUAUUUUCAUUCCACCAACACCGUAUGCCACAUUAGUUUGUAUGUUGUAAAAAAUAGUUUGUAGAAAAUUUUGUAACUCUGUUGUUACUAAAAAGGAGUUACAUAUGUGUGCGUUAAGAUGUUCAUGCAAUCGUUCGAAAAGAGGUUCCGCAAUGGAGAUAAAGUUACUCGCUCUUGAUGUUCUUGGUUUCCCUUGCAGUUGUAAUGCUUAGCACAAAUUAUGGUUCUAGAUCUCCUGUAAUUUGUUUUCUUGUUUGUUUGUUUGUUUUUCUUUUUCUUUUUUUUAUGGUGUUGUAAUCUUUUCCUUUUAGGAACGCCUUCCCCUAACUUGAUUUACGUUAUUCAUUUUUCAGUUUAUAUUUGCGAAUUCUCUCGCCUUGUGGAAAUCCCUUAUCAAAAAAUGUCUAUCAUGCAAUAAUGUUGAUAUGUUUUAGGUAGAGUCAAAAAUUAAUUUCUUCAUUUUAAUUUUCCUCGAAGUCGGUCACUUUAGCGUUACUCUGCCACUAUAUGUUCUUGACUCUCAAAGGAUGGCGCCACGGUCAUCAUCAAAGAAAAUAUUUAUAAAUAAUAGUGAUGAAAAUAGACAAUUCACUCAAUUUCUCUGAAUUAAGGAAAAUAAAUAAAUAAAAUGUCUAUGAAAUUCCUCCUUCCGCCGAAAUUUACGAAAAAAGAAAAUGGCCCAUUCAUUCUAUUUUGUACAUUUGUGCAAAUUGCCACUCUAGGAAAAGAUGUCCGAAUAUUGCUGAAUAAAUGUAAAUUAAAAAAACAAAAAUAUCUGUGCAGAGUUUGUUAGCUUAUGUGGUUUAUAAUAACAGAAAAUUUUGACCUGCAUACGAGAUUUGAGAGGAUUUUAGCAUUCUUUCUCAAUCGUGGGCUCAACAUAAAGCACUACAUGUUAAAAAUAUAAUGCCUCAAAUAUCAAAACCGUGUUUUCUUGAUUCUCUAUGUCCUUCAAAGUUUGAAAUGAUUAUCUCCGAAUCCUUGCCGACAGGAACCCCUAUGCCUGCAGUCAGUUUUGGUGACUACAGUGUCAUAAUUCUAGAAUGAAGAUGAAGAUUUGGAUCGAUGCUAAACUCAUAUGUGCUUAUCUCUUUAUAAUCUUGUGCUUUAUGUGCAUGUAUAGUAAGAUACAAUUAAGAUUUAAUUAGCUUUUUAAAAGAUUAACAAAAAGGCUAGCUCAGUACUGAAUUCAAAACUUAAAGAUAAACCACCUUCUUUUGAAACCUUAGGAAGUAAAAGACUUGCUAAAAAUGAUAAAAUAAAAAUGCUUUAAAUUAUGAGAAAAUUUUAUAUUACCGCUCUCAUGAAUUGACUAUCUUCAAAUCGCCCAUUUAUUUUUAAAAUUCUCAAAUUAUCUCAUUUUUCAAUUUUCUUAUUAAAAAUAGGGAUAAAUUGAGGUUUUCAAAAGUAAGGAGGUGAUUUGAAAAUAAUCAAUUCAUGAAAAGGGAAAUCCAAAAUUAACCCUAAAAUUAUAUUUAGGAUUCCCUAAAGAUUUCAGUAACGAAACCCAAUCGAUCGUAAUUUCAAUCAAUUUAAUGAGGAUUGGCUAUUAAAAUACUACAAGCUAAUAAUUAAAAAAAUUAUGAUUUUUGCAUGUAAUUAACGAUUAAUAAAUAGAAUAUAUAAUAAGAAGUUCAAUUCUGACCAUAAAACAACACUAAAAGACAAGUUGUAUAAUAUUUUUAUGUUGAAUAUUAAACUUAAUCCAAAUAGAGCACAAGUAGCCCAAUUCUUAAAAGUCUCUAAGGUAAGCUUGUGUUAAAUUUGUUAGGUAGUUGAAGUUUGAAUGAGUCUAAAUAUAAUUGUUUGAAUUAUAUUUUUUUAAUAUCGUAAUUUAUUUUAUAAAAAAAAAAUUUAAACAUGAUUAUUUAACAUUUAUUUCCUUACAAGUCAAAACGAAUGAAGUGACAUGUUUCAUAGUUCUAGAAAUAAAUGUAUUUAAUAGAGAUAAUCUUGAGAUAUAGCAUUUACUUCCCAUUCAAACCUUUUUCAUUAAGAUAAAAACUAUAAAAUUUUACUUUUUCUAUGGAGGAAAAGAAUUAUUAUUUUUUAAUAUUUCUCCCUUUAUAUUAUUAUUAUUAUUAUUAUUGUUGUUGUUGUUGUUGUUGUUGUUGUUGUUGAUGGAGGAAAAGAAUUAAAAAUAAUACACCCAAGAAAAGGUUUCUGAAUUUUGCUGGAUUCCAAUUUAGAAAAAAAAAAGAACAGGAAAAAAAAAUGUAAUUUGAAUACAGAUGUUCAAGUUGCGUAUAGUUAGUUUACAGGGCAAGAAAGCAUAUUUGAUUUGUAUAUAAUGAAAUAGUCAUUGAAUUUUUAGCAUUAUUAUUUCCAAUCACGCGCUCAGAUAAACCACUGUAUGUUAAAAAAAAUACCUCUCAAAUAUCAAGAUCCGCGAUUUCUUGAUUCUGUUUGUCAUUGAAGUCUGUAAAGCUUAUCCUCAAAAUCCUUGCUGAAAGGAAGGAACCCAUAUGCCUGUAGUCAGUUUUGGCGACUGUUUAAUUAUUAUAUUAAUAACAUUAGUGAUCAAAUUACUCUUCUUCUGUAACCUAUAUAAUGUGAAAAAAUAUAUUUAUAUAAUUAUAUGUACAAUGUAGAAGAAGACGUGUCAUGUUAAUAGAGGUUACAUAUGUUAUGUUAGAGAUUAAAAAUUUUACGCUAGAGAAGCAUGUAGCAUGUCUAUUAUGAGUUGUCAUGCACCUCACGAUCUAGAUCAGUCAAUAAAACCCCCCAUUUGCUUAUUUAAAUUAUCAAUGAUUGAUUAAUUCUCACGCCCUCCUAAUUUCUAUAUAAGAGGGGCAUUCAUUCACAGAACAAAAUGUACAAGUUCCUUGAUAGAGUCUAAGAGCUAGAGUAAUUGCAAUUUUUUCAUCAUCAUGGCCAAAUAUCAGUUAGCUGGUCUCUUGAUUCUCCUUUUGAACUUGGGCACUUUGCUCCCUUCUCUAGCUUCUGACUGCUCAAAUCCACCAAGUGUCCCCAAAACACCUUCUUCCCCAAGCCCUAAACC